GGAAGACACCGAAAGAAACCAAGAGUUUGGCAUCUAUAUGCAAUGAAGUAUUGGGGAUUUCUCUUUCAAAGGAACUUCAAUGUAGCGAUUGGUCAUGUCGUCCUCUUACAGAAGAGCAAAAAACAUAUGCUGCAAUUGAUGCGCACUGCUUGCUCGAAAUAUUCAAGGUCUUCCAGGCAAAUGUUGUUAAAGAAGGGAAAUCUUAUGGCAAUGCAACAGAAUUGCAUUCUUCCAAUAUUAAUCUUGGGCUGAAAGAAAUUCUUGAAAAGCAUGAUAUUGGUGAUGCAGUCAUUAGGACCAACUUUUCUGAGGCUUUGAAUAUAGUCCAAGCUACUGUAACUUCAGAAGAUUCUCACAGAGUAGCCAAGGGGGGGAUUUCCAUGGCAUCAACCAGAAGUACUAUGCCUAUGGAUGAACUUCUCUUGAAUAUAGUAAGAAAAUAUGGUGAAAAAAUCUUGUUGAAAGAAUCUGACAGAAAGCCAAAAUCCUCCAAAAAGAAAGGGAAGAAACGAUCCUCAGUUGCAGUUUGCAGGGAAAAACAAUUAGAUGACAUAGGUGACUGGCAAGGACUCCCACCCUGGGAUUUGUCCUUAGGUGGUGAUGGAUGCCCCAAGUUCCUAUGUGAUGUUAUGGUUGAAGGCUUGGCAAAACAUUUACGGUGUGUUGGGAUAGAUGCUGCAAUUCCAUAUUCGAAAAAGCCAGAAUCCAGAGAAUUAAUAGAUCAGGCAUACAAAGAGCAGAGAGUGCUUCUGACACGAGAUGCCAAGUUAUUGAGACACCAAUACUUGAUAAAGAACCAAAUAUACAGAGUGAAGAGUCUUCUUAAAAAUGAACAACUUCUUGAGGUAAUCGACACUUUCCAGUUAAAAAUUACUGAGGAUCAACUGAUGUCAAGGUGCAGUAAGUGCAAUGGGAGGUUUAUUCAAAAGCCACUAACAACCGAAGAGGCUGUUGAAGCUGCAAAGGGCUUUCAGAAAAUUCCUGACUGCUUGUUUAACAAAAAAUUGGAGUUCUGGCAGUGCAUGGAUUGCAACCAACUGUACUGGGAGGGAACCCAAUACCAGAAUGCAGUUCAGAAGUUCAUUGACAUCUGCAAAUUGAACGAGUAAAGUUGAAGUUGACGGUCGAUGCUUCUGCGGAUAAAAAAGGUAUUUUUGUACAACAUAUGUAUGAGCAAUUGUCCUUGUCUAUUCUACAUAUAGUUCUUGAUUCAAGCAUUAUUGUUCAAUGUAAUUGUUCCUCUGAUUUUAAAGAAUUUUGUGAGAGGCAAGAAGAUAAAGGGAUAGAAGACCUGAUAUUCUGUUUUAAGUUUUGAGCCUUUCUGGCUCUUGUUUUGUCCU
This 1340-nucleotide unclassified non-coding RNA is filed under the name Hevea brasiliensis (rubber tree). The record is from RNAcentral. Lineage: Eukaryota; Viridiplantae; Streptophyta; Magnoliopsida; Malpighiales; Euphorbiaceae.